Molecule: ribosomal RNA, 492 nt
Filed under: uncultured bacterium
Lineage: Bacteria
Description: partial 16S ribosomal RNA
Rfam family: Bacterial small subunit ribosomal RNA
Source: RNAcentral
AGUGAACGCUGGCGGUAGGCCUAACACAUGCAAGUCGAACGGCAGCACAGUAAGAGCUUGCUCUUACGGGUGGCGAGUGGCGGACGGGUGAGGAAUACAUCGGAAUCUACUUUUUCGUGGGGGAUAACGUAGGGAAACUUACGCUAAUACCGCAUACGACCUACGGGUGAAAGCAGGGGAUCUUCGGACCUUGCGCGAUUGAAUGAGCCGAUGUCGGAUUAGCUAGUUGGCGGGGUAAAGGCCCACCAAGGCGACGAUCCGUAGCUGGUCUGAGAGGAUGAUCAGACACACUGGAACUGAGACACGGUCAAGAGGCCUACGGGAGGCAGCAGUGGGGAAUAUUGGACAAUGGGCGAAAGCCUGAUCCAGCCAUACCGCGUGGGUGAAGAAGGCCUUCGGGUUGUAAAGCCCUUUUGUUGGGAAAGAAAAGCAGCAGGUUAAUACCCCGCUGUUCUGACGGUACCCAAAGAAUAAGCACCGGCUAACUUCGUG